Heterocephalus glaber (naked mole-rat) is the source of this 1789-nucleotide long non-coding RNA. The record is from Ensembl. Lineage: Eukaryota; Metazoa; Chordata; Mammalia; Rodentia; Bathyergidae.
UGAGUUCAACAAAGCACUGGACUUGUCUGAAAGUUUUGAAGGUAAAGGGGACUAACUACUAGACUUUAAAGAUAGUGUGGUACAAAGGCCACAGUUCGUUUAUUUGGGAUUUCUGGAUUUAGUAAGGUCAAUCAACAGCCUUCAAAAGAAAACCCCCUAUGGUUUCAUUCAACCAUGAGACCCAUGUUCACGUUUUUGUGAGAACAUCAGGAGAAAAUUCAGCUGGGCAAUGGAAGAAACAUGUGUCCAUUUGGAUGGUGAUCAAUCUUUGGUUUAUACAGCACACAUGGUCCUUACAUAUCCCCUGCUUCCCCAGGGCCAUAUAGUCACUGAGUAAUGACUUGGUGGCUAUAAAGCAAAUGGCUCUGUAGUAAGUGCAAACACCAAUAGUAGCACAGGAUUAGAAGAUCUUUGAUCACUGAGGCUCCUUAAAAAGCUACUGGAUUACGAAGCACAUGAGACAGGGAAAGAAUCCUGACUGACCUUAAAUAGGCUUUUGUAGAACAAGAAGGCUCUACAUUUAAAGGGCUCAGUAACUAAGGACGUAUCUAGUGUCUGGGUUCAUUUCAUUAGUUCUAGGAUAAUUAGUGCCAUCAAAAGGCUCCAAACAGAAGAAUGUUCCUAUUAAUCUAUGAGUCUUUAAAUGCUGCUGUUCUAAUACAAAAAGCCUGGGGUUGGGAGGUAUGGAGCAAAGCAGGGUAAGAGCUACAUGAUAAUGAGAAAUUCAUACCUGCUUCUCAGAAUGAAGUUACCUCUGCAGGCUACUCAGAUCUCUUUUGCAGUCAUUAGUGUUAUAACAUUUAAUUCCUUAAACAACCUGCCCCCCAAUGCCUAUCAGUUCUAAACCUGGGGAAUGGGCACUUCUUCAGGGAGCCUAUCUAUGUGUUUAGCAUGGAGAGUUUGAGCCCUGCUUCACCCAGCUCCCUGACUGGGAGUCCUGCAGCCUCUGUCCCGACUUCCUGCAGGGCUUCGGCCCCUUCCCCUUUGAUACAGCAUCACCAACUGGUCUCCUCAGUCCCCCAUAGCACGAAGGCACUGCACAAGGAACCUCAGCUCCCACAUUUACAAGACAGUCCCUUGGCCCCUCUUUGUUGGUUUUAAGUGGCUCCCAGCUCUGUUACGAGGAGCAAGCUUUGUGCUGGCUGAGAUGUUCAGCAGGAUGAGUGCCACCAGACACAGGAUGUACAAAUCCUGACCCUGGGGACACUUGGAGAACCUGGGUGGGCACAAGUGCUGGCAGUGGAAGAUAAGAUCCAGACAGCAUUUUGGGAUUGUGACCUUGCCAUUUUUUGCUUAGGAAACUUCUGGCAAUGAAGCCUAAAAAAAAAAAAAGGCAAUAGCUAUAGGGUGGCUUAAAACCAGUGAAAAAGGAAGCAAAAAUGAAACUAGGUGUGGUGGUGCACGCUUGUAAUCCUAGCACUCUGGAAGGCUGAGGCAGAAUUGCUAGUUUGAGCCUAAUCUGGGCAAUUUAAUGAUUUAGCUAGAUAUUGCCCCGCCUCAAAAGAGAGAUAUGACUCAGUGUGAAGGCCCUUAGUUUAAUUCUCAAUACCUAGAAGAAAAGAAGUAAAAAUGAAGGUGACUGGCUUAGGAAAGAACUUAAUUUGCCUUUAUGCAUCAAAAGUAAAAGUAUAGAUAUUAUCACAUAAUAAAAAGAACAAUAUCAGUAACAGUAGUAAGCAUGAUAAGGAUAACUAUAGUUACAGAACCACCACUUUUGUUGUGCUGAAGGUUAUUGGAGAGGUUCUUGCAAGCAAAGGAAAAAAAAAAACAAAACGAGGAAAGGAAGAUG